GCGGGAUUAACUCAGUGGUAGAGUAGCGCCUUUACACGGCGAAUGUCGGGAGUUCGACCCUCUCAUCCCGCACCA
Molecule: transfer RNA, 75 nt
Filed under: Alphaproteobacteria bacterium
Lineage: Bacteria; Pseudomonadati; Pseudomonadota; Alphaproteobacteria
Also listed under: 2 other names
Description: tRNA-Val
Rfam family: tRNA
About the family: Transfer RNA (tRNA) molecules are approximately 80 nucleotides in length. Their secondary structure includes four short double-helical elements and three loops (D, anti-codon, and T loops).
Source: RNAcentral